UACGGGGUGGGCAAGCGUUGUUCGGAAUUACUGGGCGUAAAGGGCUCGUAGGCGGCCAACUAAGUCGGACGUGAAAUCCCUCGGCUUAACCGGGGAACUGCGUCCGAUACUGGAUGGCUUGAGUCCGGGAGGGGAUGGUGGAAUUCCCAGUGUAGCGGUGAAAUGCGUAGAUAUUGGGAAGAACACCGGUGGCGAAGGCGACCAUCUGGACCGGAACUGACGCUGAGGCGCGAAAGCCAGGGGAGCGAAUGGG
Molecule: ribosomal RNA, 253 nt
Filed under: uncultured bacterium
Lineage: Bacteria
Description: partial 16S ribosomal RNA
Rfam family: Bacterial small subunit ribosomal RNA
Source: RNAcentral